RNAcentral lists this ribosomal RNA (1351 nucleotides) under Modestobacter sp. SBT363. Its description in RNAcentral is "bacterial SSU rRNA". It matches the Rfam family "Bacterial small subunit ribosomal RNA", at positions 82 to 1441 of the family's 1533-position model. The record is from RNAcentral. Lineage: Bacteria; Bacillati; Actinomycetota; Actinomycetes; Geodermatophilales; Geodermatophilaceae.
GGGUGGUGCCCUAGCGGCGAACGGGUGAGUAACACGUGGGCAACCUGCCCUCAGCUCUGGGAUAACUCCAAGAAAUUGGUGCUAAUACCGGAUGUGACCGCUGACCGCAUGGUCUGGUGGUGGAAAGAUUCAUCGGCUGAGGAUGGGCCCGCGGCCUAUCAGCUUGUUGGUGGGGUGAUGGCCCACCAAGGCGACGACGGGUAGCCGGCCUGAGAGGGUGACCGGCCACACUGGGACUGAGACACGGCCCAGACUCCUACGGGAGGCAGCAGUGGGGAAUAUUGCGCAAUGGGCGAAAGCCUGACGCAGCGACGCCGCGUGAGGGAUGACGGCCUUCGGGUUGUAAACCUCUUUCAGCAGGGACGAAGCGGAAGUGACGGUACCUGCAGAAGAAGCACCGGCCAACUACGUGCCAGCAGCCGCGGUAAUACGUAGGGUGCAAGCGUUGUCCGGAAUUAUUGGGCGUAAAGAGCUCGUAGGCGGUCUGUCACGUCGGCUGUGAAAACCCGAGGCUCAACCUCGGGCCUGCAGUCGAUACGGGCAAACUAGAGUGUUGCAGGGGAGACUGGAAUUCCUGGUGUAGCGGUGAAAUGCGCAGAUAUCAGGAGGAACACCGGUGGCGAAGGCGGGUCUCUGGGCAACAACUGACGCUGAGGAGCGAAAGCGUGGGGAGCGAACAGGAUUAGAUACCCUGGUAGUCCACGCCGUAAACGUUGGGCGCUAGGUGUGGGGGCCAUUCCACGGUCUCCGUGCCGCAGCUAACGCAUUAAGCGCCCCGCCUGGGGGAGUACGGCCGCAAGGCUAAAACUCAAAGGAAUUGACGGGGGGCCCGCACAAGCGGCCGGAGCAUGUUGCUUAAUUCGAUGCAACGCGAAGAACCUUACCUAGGCUUGACAUGCACGGAAAUCUCACAGAGAUGUGAGGUCCUUUAUUGGGUCGUGCACAGGUGGUGCAUGGUUGUCGUCAGCUCGUGUCGUGAGAUGUUGGGUUAAGUCCCGCAACGAGCGCAACCCUCGUUCUAUGUUGCCAGCACGUCAUGGUGGGGACUCAUAGGAGACUGCCGGGGUCAACUCGGAGGAAGGUGGGGAUGACGUCAAAUCAUCAUGCCCCUUAUGUCUAGGGCUGCAAACAUGCUACAAUGGCCGGUACAAAGGGCUGCGAUACCGCGAGGUGGAGCGAAUCCCAAAAAGCCGGUCUCAGUUCGGAUUGGGGUCUGCAACUCGACCCCAUGAAGUUGGAGUCGCUAGUAAUCGCAGAUCAGCAACGCUGCGGUGAAUACGUUCCCGGGCCUUGUACACACCGCCCGUCACGUCACGAAAGUCGGUAACGCCCGAAGCCGGUGGCCCAACCC